This 465-nucleotide ribosomal RNA is filed under the name uncultured bacterium. Its description in RNAcentral is "partial 16S ribosomal RNA". It matches the Rfam family "Bacterial small subunit ribosomal RNA", at positions 28 to 507 of the family's 1533-position model. The record is from RNAcentral.
GACGAACGCUGGCGGCGUGCUUAACACAUGCAAGUCGAACGGAAAGGCCCUGCUUGCAGGGUACUCGAGUGGCGAACGGGUGAGUAACACGUGGGUGAUCUGCCCUGCACUUCGGGAUAAGCCUGGGAAACUGGGUCUAAUACCGGAUAUGACCUUCCAUGUAGUGUGGGGGGUGGAAAGAUUUAUCGGUGUGGGAUGAGCCCGCGGCCUAUCAGCUUGUUGGUGGGGUAAUGGCCUACCAAGGCGUCGACGGGUAGCCGGCCUGAGAGGGUGGACGGCCACAUUGGGACUGAGAUACGGCCCAGACUCCUACGGGAGGCAGCAGUGGGGAAUAUUGCACAAUGGGCGGAAGCCUUAUGCAGCGACGCCGCGUGGGGGAUGACGGCCUUCGGGUUGUAAACCUCUUUCGACAGGGACGAAGCUUCGGUGACGGUACCUGUAUAAGAAGCACCGGCUAACUACGUG